UAGGGAAUCUUCCACAAUGGACGCAAGUCUGAUGGAGCAACGCCGCGUGAGUGAAGAAGGUUUUCGGACCGUAAAGCUCUGUUGUUGGUGAAGAAGGAUAGAGGUAGUAACUGGCCUUUAUUUGACGGUAAUCAACCAGAAAGUCACGGCUAACUACGUGCCAGCAGCCGCGGUAAUACGUAGGUGGCAAGCGUUGUCCGGAUUUAUUGGGCGUAAAGCGAGCGCAGGCGGAAGAAUAAGUCUGAUGUGAAAGCCCUCGGCUUAACCGAGGAAUUGCAUCGGAAACUGUUUUCUUGAGUGCAGAAGAGGAGAGUAGAACUCCAUGUGUAGCGGUGGAAUGCGUAGAUAUAUGGAAGAAUACCAGUGACAGAGGCGCUCUCUGGUCUGCAACUGACGCUGAGGCUCGAAAGCAUGGGUAGCGAACAGGAUUAGAUACCCUGGUAGUCCAUGCCGUAAACGAUGAGUGCUAAGUGUUGGGAGGCUUCCGCCUCUCAGUGCUGCAGCUAACGCAUUAAGCACUCCGCCUGGGGGAGUACGACCGCAAGGUUGAAAC
Molecule: ribosomal RNA, 553 nt
Filed under: uncultured bacterium
Lineage: Bacteria
Description: partial 16S ribosomal RNA
Rfam family: Bacterial small subunit ribosomal RNA
Source: RNAcentral